RNAcentral lists this ribosomal RNA (706 nucleotides) under Bacillus cereus. RNAcentral's name for it is "bacterial SSU rRNA". It matches the Rfam family "Bacterial small subunit ribosomal RNA", at positions 63 to 748 of the family's 1533-position model. Lineage: Bacteria; Bacillati; Bacillota; Bacilli; Caryophanales; Bacillaceae. The record is from RNAcentral.
CGAGCGAAUGGAUUGAAGAGCUUGCUCUCAAGAAGUUAGCGGCGGACGGGUGAGUAACACGUGGGUAACCUGCCCAUAAGACUGGGAUAACUCCGGGAAACCGGGGCUAAUACCGGAUAACAUUUUGAACCGCAUGGUUCGAAAUUGAAAGGCGGCUUCGGCUGUCACUUAUGGAUGGACCCGCGUCGCAUUAGCUAGUUGGUGAGGUAACGGCUCACCAAGGCAACGAUGCGUAGCCGACCUGAGAGGGUGAUCGGCCACACUGGGACUGAGACACGGCCCAGACUCCUACGGGAGGCAGCAGUAGGGAAUCUUCCGCAAUGGACGAAAGUCUGACGGAGCAACGCCGCGUGAGUGAUGAAGGCUUUCGGGUCGUAAAACUCUGUUGUUAGGGAAGAACAAGUGCUAGUUGAAUAAGCUGGCACCUUGACGGUACCUAACCAGAAAGCCACGGCUAACUACGUGCCAGCAGCCGCGGUAAUACGUAGGUGGCAAGCGUUAUCCGGAAUUAUUGGGCGUAAAGCGCGCGCAGGUGGUUUCUUAAGUCUGAUGUGAAAGCCCACGGCUCAACCGUGGAGGGUCAUUGGAAACUGGGAGACUUGAGUGCAGAAGAGGAAAGUGGAAUUCCAUGUGUAGCGGUGAAAUGCGUAGAGAUAUGGAGGAACACCAGUGGCCAAGGCGACUUUCUGGUCUGUAACUGACACUG